AUGGCGAAGAACGUGGACAAGCCGCUCUUCACGGCGACGUUCAACGUCCAGGCCAGCUCUGCCGACUAUGUCACCUUCAUCAACGGCAUCCGCAACAAGCUCCGCAACCCGGGGCACUCCUCCCACAACCGCCCCGUGCUGCCGCCGAUCGAGCCCAACGUCCCGCCGAGCAGGUGGUUCCACAUCGUGCUCAAGACAUCGCCGGCAAGCACCGGGCUCACGCUCGCCACCCGCGCCGACAACCUCUACUGGGAGGGCUUCAAGAGCAGCGACGGCACCUGGUGGGAGCUCACCCCCGGACUCAUCCCCGGCGCCACCCACGUUGGGUUCGGCGGCACGUAUCGCGACCUCCUCGGCGACACCGACAAGCUGACCAACGUCGCUCUCGGCCGGCAGCAGAUGGCGGACGCGGUGACCGCGCUCUACGGGCGCACCAAGGCCGACAAGACCUCCGGCCCGAAGCAGCAGCAGGCGAGGGAGGCGGUGACGACGCUGCUCCUCAUGGUGCACGAGGCCACGCGGUUCCAGACCGUGUCGGGGUUCGUGGCUGGAGUGCUGCACCCCAAGGAGAAGAAGAGCGGGAAGAUCGGCAAUGAGAUGAAGGCCCAGGUGAACGGAUGGCAGGACCUGUCCGAAGCGCUGCUGAAGACGGACGCGAAGCCCCCGCCGGGAAAGGCGCCAGCGAAGUUCACGCCGAUCGAGAAGAUGGGCGUGAGGACGGCGGAGCAGGCGGCUGCCACCCUGGGGAUCCUGCUGUUCGUCCAGGUGCCCGGUGGGAUGACGGUGGCCCAGGCGCUGGAGCUGUUUCAUAAGAGUGGGGGGAAAUAG
Molecule: ribosomal RNA, 828 nt
Filed under: Triticum aestivum (bread wheat)
Lineage: Eukaryota; Viridiplantae; Streptophyta; Magnoliopsida; Poales; Poaceae
Description: partial small subunit ribosomal RNA
Source: RNAcentral